Molecule: non-coding RNA, 85 nt
Organism: Hyaena hyaena (striped hyena)
Lineage: Eukaryota; Metazoa; Chordata; Mammalia; Carnivora; Hyaenidae
Source: the annotation of a RefSeq genome assembly
GCCUGGGUGGCUCAGUUGGUAGAGCGUCUGAUUUCCGCUCAGAUCAUCAUCUCAUGGUUCGUGGGUUCGAGCCCCACGUCGGGCU